RNAcentral lists this long non-coding RNA (969 nucleotides) under Homo sapiens (human). Its description in RNAcentral is "non-protein coding lnc-FAM90A1-1:6". The record is from RNAcentral. Lineage: Eukaryota; Metazoa; Chordata; Mammalia; Primates; Hominidae.
CAGAUGGCAAGCCCAUCAAACCUUGGUGCCAUGGCUGCCCUGGUAAUUCCUGGCUGACCAGUGCAACCAGGGAGCUGGCCCAUGACCUGGGUGGCAGCUGAGUAGCCAGGACUCAUGCGGCCAAGAGUCAGCCUUCUUCCUGUGACUCAUCCAGGUGCACCCUGCGACAUCUGAAGGUCAGGCUUUCAGCCGCUGUGGCUUCCACUUCCAACUGGCUCCACGUCCCCAGGGAGGGAUCACAUAGAGCUUUGCCAACACAUUCUAUUGCGUGUUUUAAUGUUCCUGUGAAUGCGCCCUUGAGAUUUCUCCCUCCCCCGUCCACACUGAGCUUAGAAGCAAAGUUAAGAGACUCAUCAGAUUCUGAGCUGCUGCGGGAUAUUUUGCAGAAGACUGUGAAGCAUCCUGUGUGUGUGUGAAGCACCCGCCGUCAGUCAAGUAUGCCCGGUGCUUUCUCUCAGAACUCAUCAAAAAGCCCUCGGGAGGCUCGGUCACAAUCUCCGAGAGCACAGCCAUCAUCUCUCACGGUACCACAGGCCUGGUCACAUGGGACGCCACCCUCUGCCUUGCAGAAUGGGCCAUCGAGAACCCAGCAGCCUUCACUAACAGGUGACCUCGGGGCACAGGGCAGGGCACCAAGGCAGGCUUACCCUGGUGCAGUCGAAGACACGGUCCCCUUUCCUCCCGCCAGGACUGUCCUAGAACUUGGCAGUGGUGCCGGCCUCACAGGCCUUGCCAUCUGCAAGAUGUGCCGCCCCCGGGCAUACAUCUUCAGCGACCCUCACAGCCGGGUCCUCGAGCAGCUCCAAGGGAAUGUCUUUCUCAAUGGCCUCUCAUUAGAGGCAGACAUCACUGCCAACUUAGACAGCCCCAGGGUGACAGUGGCCCAGCUGGACUGGGACGUAGCGACGGUCCAUCAGCUCUCUGCCUUCCAGCCAGAUGUUGUCAUUGCAGCAGGUAAUGCCCAGCCCC